GGGCUGGAAGCUCACCAGGUAGAGCGCCGCACUGGCAGUGCGGAGGUAGCGGGUUCGAUUCCCGUCCGGUCCAC
RNAcentral lists this transfer RNA (74 nucleotides) under Tsukamurella tyrosinosolvens. RNAcentral describes it as "tRNA-Ala(ggc)". It matches the Rfam family "tRNA". Rfam says of the family: Transfer RNA (tRNA) molecules are approximately 80 nucleotides in length. Their secondary structure includes four short double-helical elements and three loops (D, anti-codon, and T loops). Lineage: Bacteria; Bacillati; Actinomycetota; Actinomycetes; Mycobacteriales; Tsukamurellaceae. The record is from RNAcentral.